ACCUGCCCAGAUGAGCUGGGAGCCUCGUGGGCUGGAGGACCCCCCCCCACCCCGAGUCCGUCCCAACCCCCAUUUCACAGCCCCCAGUGGCUUCAAGUGACCCUCUGAACGGGGGGGUCGGACUCCUGCGGAUGUCCAGGGCUCCGAUAUACGAGCACAGAAAUGUAUUUGUAUGUACGGUGCUGCUCGAGAGUGCGCGACCCUGUCGGGACGGGUCGCGGGAAACCAGAGCCUGCCUGGCAACGCAGG
Scleropages formosus (Asian bonytongue) is the source of this 249-nucleotide long non-coding RNA. RefSeq lists it as uncharacterized. The record is from RefSeq and is a predicted model, not a curated record. Lineage: Eukaryota; Metazoa; Chordata; Actinopteri; Osteoglossiformes; Osteoglossidae. The transcript is spliced from 3 exons.